UUCUUUCCGUGCUCCUGUGCGCGGCUGCCGGCGACGAGAGUCACCGAUUUCUGGUCGGGGAAAAAGACUCUGUUUUUGAUCUAUUUUCUUUGAAAUUUCCGACGCCGGCGAUCGGAAUUGAUCGCUGGCCACGCUCCUCCGUGACCGGGGGAGUGGCCCCCGUCGGCCGCCGGCCUCCGCCGCGGUGGCCGUGGCCUGA
RNAcentral lists this long non-coding RNA (199 nucleotides) under Elaeis guineensis (African oil palm). RNAcentral's name for it is "long non-coding RNA (EGUI_LNC069141)". The record is from RNAcentral. Lineage: Eukaryota; Viridiplantae; Streptophyta; Magnoliopsida; Arecales; Arecaceae.